CCUACGGGAGGCAGCAGUGGGGAAUAUUGGGCAAUGGACACAAGUCUGACCCAGCAACGCCGCGUGAAGGACGAAGGCUUUCGGGUUGUAAACUUCUUUUUAGGGGGAAGUGCAGAAGCCGGUACCCCUUGCAUAAGCCACGGCUAACUACGUGCCAGCAGCCGCGGUAAUACGUAGGUGGCAAGCGUUGUCCGGAUUUACUGGGUGUAAAGGGCGUGCAGCCGGAGAGACAAGUCAGCUGUGAAAUCCACCGGCGCAACCUUUGAACUGCAUUUGAAACUGUUUCCCGUGAGUAUCGGAGAGGUCAUCGGAAUGCCUGGUGUAGCGGUGAAAGGCGUAGAUAUAUGGAAGAACACCAGUUGCGAAAGCGGCUCUCUGGACUGUAACUGACGCUGAGGUUCGAAAGCGUGGGUAGCAAACAGGAUUAGAUACCCGAGUAGUC
RNAcentral lists this ribosomal RNA (442 nucleotides) under uncultured bacterium. Its description in RNAcentral is "partial 16S ribosomal RNA". It matches the Rfam family "Bacterial small subunit ribosomal RNA", at positions 338 to 795 of the family's 1533-position model. The record is from RNAcentral.